RNAcentral lists this ribosomal RNA (164 nucleotides) under Aeluropus littoralis. Its description in RNAcentral is "5.8S ribosomal RNA". It matches the Rfam family "5.8S ribosomal RNA". From Rfam's summary of the family: 5.8S ribosomal RNA (5.8S rRNA) is a component of the large subunit of the eukaryotic ribosome. It is transcribed by RNA polymerase I as part of the 45S precursor that also contains 18S and 28S rRNA. The record is from RNAcentral. Lineage: Eukaryota; Viridiplantae; Streptophyta; Magnoliopsida; Poales; Poaceae. RNAcentral also lists the same sequence under 1 other name.
CACAUGACUCUCGGCAACGGAUAUCUCGGCUCUCGCAUCGAUGAAGAACGUAGCAAAAUGCGAUACCUGGUGUGAAUUGCAGAAUCCCGUGAACCAUCGAGUUUUUGAACGCAAGUUGCGCCCAAGACCUUCUGGUUGAGGGCACGUCUGCCUGGGCGUCACGC